AGUGAACGCUGGCGGUAGGCCUAACACAUGCAAGUCGAACGGCAGCACAGUAAGAGCUUGCUCUUACGGGUGGCGAGUGGCGGACGGGUGAGGAAUACAUCGGAAUCUACUUUUUCGUGGGGGAUAACGUAGGGAAACUUACGCUAAUACCGCAUACGACCUACGGGUGAAAGCAGGGGAUCUUCGGACCUUGCGCGAUUGAAUGAGCCGAUGUCGGAUUAGCUAGUUGGCGGGGUAAAGGCCCACCAAGGCGACGAUCCGUAGCUGGUCUGAGAGGAUGAUAAGCCACACUGGAACUGAGACACGGUCCAGACUCCUACGGGAGGCAGCAGCGGGGAAUAUUGGACAAUGGGCGCAAGCCUGAUCCAGCCAUACCGCGUGGGUGAAGAAGGCCUUCGGGUUGUAAAGCCCUUUUGUUGGGAAAGAAAAGCAGCAGGUUAAUACCCCGCUGUUCUGACGGUACCCAAAGAAUAAGCACCGGCUAACUUCGUG
Molecule: ribosomal RNA, 492 nt
Filed under: uncultured bacterium
Lineage: Bacteria
Description: partial 16S ribosomal RNA
Rfam family: Bacterial small subunit ribosomal RNA
Source: RNAcentral